UCCCCAAUAGUCCAGGCGGGUAGGAUACGUGGCUUUCACCCACGCGACCCCGGUUCGAGUCCCCGGUUGGGAAA
RNAcentral lists this transfer RNA (74 nucleotides) under Phytophthora infestans T30-4. RNAcentral describes it as "tRNA-Glu". It matches the Rfam family "tRNA". Rfam says of the family: Transfer RNA (tRNA) molecules are approximately 80 nucleotides in length. Their secondary structure includes four short double-helical elements and three loops (D, anti-codon, and T loops). The record is from RNAcentral. Lineage: Eukaryota; Oomycota; Peronosporomycetes; Peronosporales; Peronosporaceae.